GGGGAAUAUUGCACAAUGGGCGAAAGCCUGAUGCAGCGACGCCGCGUGAGCGAAGAAGUAUUUCGGUAUGUAAAGCUCUAUCAGCAGGGAAGAUAAUGACGGUACCUGACUAAGAAGCACCGGCUAAAUACGUGCCAGCAGCCGCGGUAAUACGUAUGGUGCAAGCGUUAUCCGGAUUUACUGGGUGUAAAGGGAGCGCAGGCGGUGAGGCAAGUCUGAUGUGAAAGCCCGGGGCUCAACCCCGGUACUGGAUUGGAAACUGUCGUACUAGAGUGUCGGAGGGGUAAGCGGAAUUCCUAGUGUAGCGGUGAAAUGCGUAGAUAUUAGGAGGAACACCAGUGGCGAAGGCGGCUUACUGGACGAUAACUGACGCUGAGGCUCGAAAGCGUGGGGAGCAAAC
RNAcentral lists this ribosomal RNA (400 nucleotides) under uncultured bacterium. RNAcentral's name for it is "bacterial SSU rRNA". It matches the Rfam family "Bacterial small subunit ribosomal RNA", at positions 356 to 773 of the family's 1533-position model. The record is from RNAcentral.